CCAAAGGCUCUUUUCAGAGCCAUCUACAUUUUCAAGUGAAAGAGU
This is a regulatory RNA element of Cavia porcellus (domestic guinea pig), 45 nucleotides long. It matches the Rfam family "Histone 3' UTR stem-loop". Rfam says of the family: The mRNAs of metazoan histone genes lack a poly-A tail. NCBI's taxonomy places the organism in Eukaryota, Metazoa, Chordata, Mammalia, Rodentia, Caviidae. The record is from Rfam.